Molecule: ribosomal RNA, 513 nt
Filed under: uncultured bacterium
Lineage: Bacteria
Description: bacterial SSU rRNA
Rfam family: Bacterial small subunit ribosomal RNA
Source: RNAcentral
CGCUGGCGGCGUGCCUAAUACAUGCAAGUCGAACGGUCUUUUCUAUGGAAGCUUGCUUCCGCUGAGAAGAUAGUGGCGAACGGGUGAGUAACACGUGGGUAACCUGCCCAUAAGAGGGGGGAUAACAUCCGGAAACGGGUGCUAAUACCGCAUAGUUUUCUUGAUCGCAUGAUCGGGAAAGAAAAGACGGCCUUUGUGCUGUCGCUUAUGGAUGGACCCGCGGCGUAUUAGUUAGUUGGUGAGGUAACGGCUCACCAAGACGAUGAUACGUAGCCGACCUGAGAGGGUGAUCGGCCACAUUGGGACUGAGACACGGCCCAAACUCCUACGGGAGGCAGCAGUAGGGAAUCUUCCGCAAUGGACGAAAGUCUGACGGAGCAACGCCGCGUGAGUGAAGAAAGGUUUUCGGAUCGUAAAACUCUGUUGUCAGAGAAGAACAAGUUGGAGAGUAACUGCUCCAGCCUUGACGGUACCUGACCAGAAAGCCACGGCCAACUACGUGCCAGCAGCAGC